CGUGUCUCCUUCUCUGCCGUCGUCGUCAUCUCAUCUCCGUCGUCGUCCUCGUCGUCUCCUCUCCGUCGUCGUCGUCGUGACGGGGUCGCCGACAUGUAUCUAGACUUGUGUUCGGUGGGAUGUUUGGUGCUGGAGAUCUACACGGGCGUGCGUCUGUGGAAAGGUGUUCAUCUCAAUCUUAGCUACUCGUCUCCGUUGUGGUGAAGCUGUGUCUGUGGAAUGUGUGAACAUAUGCAAUCUAACGAAAGGAGACGGGAAUGUAAGAAGUGAUUGCAGUGUUCUCUCCUGUGCUUGGAAAGCUCCUAGAGCCUUAACUGGGUUUCUAGCUAGCACUGCUCAUCCGCCUGUGUGUUCUUUGUAUCUAUGUGGCCGAAUUGGAAAAAAGAGUAGAGUAAAAUCUGUAAGUAUUAUUUCUUCUUUUUGCUUUGUUUCAGUCUUCUAGUUAUUCUUAAGGUUUUUUUAUUUUGAUUUGCCUCAUUUCAGAAGCAUGCUCGUUCUGAAAAACUAAUGAAGGAAUAAAAGCUUAGAACCAAUGAUGAUGAUGAAGUUGAUGAUCCAGAGAAGCCAUCUCAGGGUUUUUUUUGUGCAUUUGACUAUUUGAGAGCAUGCCAACGAGUUCUUCUGAUGAGUCCUAAUAAAAUUACCGGCUUUAAUGUUAGGAGAAGCAGAUAAAAGGGAACAGAAGAUCACAAAGAAAUGAUAAGAGAUCAUAAAAACAAGGAAUGCUCAGAACCCAAGUGGAUAACCCAGACACUCCAUCUCAGGAGAAGCAGAUAAAGGAAAACAGAAAAUCACGAAGACAGGGUAUGAGAUCACAAAAACAGAAAAAGAUGGAGGUAAAGCAGACGCGACGCCAGAAUCUAGAAAGAAAAUGCGUCAAACUAAGGAUUGAGACUAUUGUGUAUCUCUCCUUUCAAUAUGAAAGAUUCAUUUUCAUAUUUUCUUGAGGAAAAAUAGUAGGAGAGUGGGUUGGAUAUGCGUCAGUUUUUUACUUAUCUACAAAAUAUUUUGCUUGUAACUGAUAUAUGGUUUUGAUUAAUUCAGAUUUGAGUUAUAUACAAUUUUUGUGUGUUUCUUUUUUUUUAUGCAAUUUGGAUCUUGUCUAGACUUGAUGUUAUUACGUUCUUUUGAACCUCUUACUCUUUUAUCUCCUGAUUCCAAUUAACUUUUGACUGAAACCUUCCAAUGCAUAACCAAUUAAUUUUUCUGGAAGCCCUU
This is a long non-coding RNA of Raphanus sativus (radish), 1218 nucleotides long. RefSeq lists it as uncharacterized. The record is from RefSeq and is a predicted model, not a curated record. The transcript is spliced from 3 exons. NCBI's taxonomy places the organism in Eukaryota, Viridiplantae, Streptophyta, Magnoliopsida, Brassicales, Brassicaceae.